Molecule: small nucleolar RNA, 106 nt
Organism: Lathyrus oleraceus (garden pea)
Lineage: Eukaryota; Viridiplantae; Streptophyta; Magnoliopsida; Fabales; Fabaceae
Source: RefSeq, a predicted model, not a curated record
AGAUCAUGAUAUGGACAUUUUCACAUCAUCUUCUUGAAUCACUCUUAUGCUUCAAAAAUCGAUUCUCCAUCCAUCCGCCUAAAGUAGGUGAUUUGAUUCCUAGGUU